This 254-nucleotide ribosomal RNA is filed under the name uncultured bacterium. RNAcentral describes it as "partial 16S ribosomal RNA". It matches the Rfam family "Bacterial small subunit ribosomal RNA", at positions 524 to 776 of the family's 1533-position model. The record is from RNAcentral.
UACAGAGGUGCCAAGCGUUAGGCGGAAUCACUGGGCUUAAAGCGCGUGUAGGCGGGUCGUUAAGUGUCCGAGUGAAAUCCCACGGCUCAACCGUGGAACUGCCGGGCAUACUGGCGAUCUUGAGGCAUUCAGGGGCGAGCGGAACAAAUGGUGGAGCGGUGAAAUGCGUAGAUAUCGGGAGGAACACCAGUAGCGAAGGCGGCUUACUGGUCCGGUUCUGACGCUGAGGCGCGAAAGCGUGGGGAGCAAACAGG